Callithrix jacchus (white-tufted-ear marmoset) is the source of this 724-nucleotide long non-coding RNA. Lineage: Eukaryota; Metazoa; Chordata; Mammalia; Primates; Cebidae. The record is from Ensembl.
AAGAGUCUUUUGUACAACCUUCAAAAUUUGGUGUUGACGAUAUGUCAAGUAAUUUGGAGAUUGCCUGUGCUUGCUAUUUUUUCCCCUUCUAGGAAUGGGUAUAUUGCUGGUGUUCAUUUAAGGAAGAAAAUGGGCAUUCUCUCUGGCCAUGUUAAAGUAUUGAUGUCAUUAUGGUUGUGCCUGAACCGAAUAGUGAUGUCAUAGACCUAACUUAAAGAAGUUCUGCCAUAAAAUCUAAAUCAUCCAGCAUUUGACACAUGGACUUUAACCAUACAUGGUCAAACCAUGGUUAACCAUGCACUUUAACCAGAGACCUGGAAGUUAAAUGUGAAACUGGGAAGAGAAGAGAGUUGGAUCUGGUAGACCACAGCUGGCACGGUUCUGAGUUUAGACAGCAUUUAUUUCACUGAUGCACAUCAAUCAAAGAAAGGACCAAGGGAAAAGCAAAACGAGGAUGCCAAGAUAACAUUCAAAUUUUACAGCUAUACCACAAAGUGGAAAUUGUUCUGGGAAAAUGGGACUGUGGAAAAGUUGACAGAAGAAAAUAUCAUCUUUCUGGAGGAUGUCACUUUAUAGUUACACUGUGGGCAAAUUAUUGUUAUUAUAAACAGACAGUUCUACAAUCAGACAAGUUUAAGAAUCCAUAUACCAGAACUAAAAGCAUCCUCUUCAAAUGGUGGUAGAAAAAAAAUUGCAGAGGCUAGCCAAAACGUAUAACUCUCGU